Panicum virgatum (switchgrass) is the source of this 1881-nucleotide RNA transcript. It is a transcript of the gene named proline-rich protein 13-like, with no coding region annotated. The transcript has 4 exons. NCBI's taxonomy places the organism in Eukaryota, Viridiplantae, Streptophyta, Magnoliopsida, Poales, Poaceae. The record is from RefSeq and is a predicted model, not a curated record.
GCGCUGUUUCCAAGUCGAAGAAACGCCGACGAAACGCGCACCGAGGCCAGCGACGAUUUCAUGGCGGAUCCCGUGCUCCCUCCCCCCGCACUCCCUCCUCCCGCGCUCCCGCUUCCAGCUUGCGCGCCAAAUCCAUCCCAGCUCGCGCCAAAUCCACCGCCGCCCCUGCCCUUCAUCUUCCUCUCCUCCCAGAGCCGCCACCGCCCCUGCAGUUCGUUUCCUCCCAAGCCGCCGCGGCCCCUGCCCUCCCAGAUCCGCCGCAUCCCGUGCCAUCUGGGCGGGCGAGAUGUCCCGCAAGGGGGAGCUGCCCGGCGGCGGCACGGCAAUAUGCGGCGGCGGCGGCGGCCCCGUGAAGGCCCGUGGAGGUGGCACCGAGAAGGGCCGCAGUGGUGGCUUGGUGAAGGUCCGCGGCGCCAGCACAACGACAGGCGACGGCGGCGGCGGCGGCGGCGACACUUCGCCGGCUGCAGCUCCUCCGCCGGCUGCUGCUCCUCUGCCUGCUGCAUCUUCUCCGGCGGCACCUCCCCCAUGUUGGCCCGGAUAUGCAGCUUCACCGACGCCGCCCCCAAAUUGGCCUGGAUUUGCAGCUUCUACGGCGCCGCCCCCAAAUUCUUCCCCACAUGGAAACCAGUGCUCAAAUCCAUGGGGUGGUUAUUUGAAUAUGUUAAAGCAACCAUAUUUUCCACCUUUGCAACCUUUUGGUGAAAAUUCCCAUUAUGUUGGAGCUGCAAACACCUUCCAGCCACCAUCGCCUGCACACCUGAACCAUAUCCCAAUGAAAGGGCCAGCAUUGACCUUGAUGAAGAAGAUGGUGUUGAGGCAAGUAGGUCAGUAAAGAAAAGAUAUUGGUCACAUGAAGAGGAAGUGAAACUGGCAAGUGCUUGGUUGAAUACUUCUAAAGACCCUAUUCAUGGAAAUGAAAAGAAAAGUGGUUCAUUUUGGAGUCAAAUCACUAAGGAGUUUAACCAGAACAAGCAACGAGAAUAUCAUAGAGACACCAACAGCCUGAAGAUCCAUUGGACACGCCUAAGCAAAAUGAUAAAUGAAUUCAAUGGUUAUUGGAUUUCAGUUUGUAAAAUGAAUAAGAGUGGAUACUCCGACGACCAACUGAUGGAUGAAGCACAAAAGAGGUAUGAGAAAAAGAAUGAAAAACAUUUCACAUUGAUCCACUGGUGGAAGAUUCUAAAAGAUGAACCGAAAUGGUGCACAUUUGUUGCUCAAUCAGAGAAAGAUAAAAGCAAAAAAAGCAGCCAAGCCAUAGAUGGUGAUGACAUAGCUGAACAACGUCCUAUUGGGAGGGAAUCAGCCAAGCAAGAACGCAGAGGGAAGAGGAAGGUAGAUCAGGUUAUGGACGGUAUUGAAAUCCUUGGAGAAAAUAUAAAUAAAAUUGUUGAAGUUACGCAAGAGCGUAAGAAGGAGCGUGAACAAACGACAGAGGCACAACUUGAGAUCUCUACGAUGAAUUUGCAGACUGCAAAAGAGCAUAAGGAAGCAAAGUUACUCGAAGCUUAUACUUCUUUGCUGGCUCGGGAUACAAGUCAGAUGUCGGCCGAAGAGAAGAUUAGCCAUGGCAAGACAUUGCUCAAGAUGGAGAAGAUGAUUUUUCAAAAUGAUUGAGGAGCAUCUGUGCAAGGAUAUCAAUUGGGAGGCUUGUGCUUUUGGUCAGUUAUUUUGGAAGGCUGCAAUAUAGUGGAAAUUAAGUAUUAUUUUUCAGUUAUUUUGGUGUGAAACUGCUCCAUUAGAAUGUGAACUGUUGCUUUCAGACUGAAGCUCCUUUCGGCUUCAUCUUUAUUAUGUGAAUGUGAACUGGUAGUCCUUUCUUUAUUAUGUGAAUGUGAACUGGUACUCCUUUCACCUAUAUAUACAUCCAGUACUAGUCCA